This 492-nucleotide ribosomal RNA is filed under the name uncultured bacterium. RNAcentral describes it as "partial 16S ribosomal RNA". It matches the Rfam family "Bacterial small subunit ribosomal RNA", at positions 29 to 507 of the family's 1533-position model. The record is from RNAcentral.
AGUGAACGCUGGCGGUAGGCCUAACACAUGCAAGUCGAACGGCAGCACAGUAAGAGCUUGCUCUUACGGGUGGCGAGUGGCGGACGGGUGAGGAAUACAUCGGAAUCUACUUUUUCGUGGGGGAUAACGUAGGGAAACUUACGCUAAUACCGCAUACGACCUACGGGUGAAAGCAGGGGAUCUUCGGACCUUGCGCGAUUGAAUGAGCCGAUGUCGGAUUAGCUAGUUGGCGGGGUAAUGGCCCACCCAGUCGACGAUCCGUAGCUGGUCUGAGAGGAUGAUCAGCGACACUGGAAGUGAGACACGGUCCAGGCGACUACGGGAGGCAGCAGAGGGGAAUAUUAGACAGUGGGGGCGAGCAUGAUCCAGUCAUACCGCGUGGGUGGAGGAGGCCUUCGGGUUGUGAAGCCCGUUUGUGGGGAAAGAAAAGCAGCAGGUUAAUACCCCGCGGUUGUGACGGUACCCAAAGAAUAAGCACCGGCUAACUUCGUG